UAAAGGAGCGAUCCGGUGACGGAUGGGCAUGCGUGACAUUAGCUAGUCGGCGGGGUAACGGCCCACCGAGGCGACGAUGUCUAGGGGUUCUGAGAGGAAGGUCCCCCACACUGGUACUGAGACACGGACCAGACUCCUACGGGAGGCAGCAGUGAGGAAUAUUGGUCAAUGGGCUUACGCCUGAACCAGCCAAGUCGCGUGAGGGAAGACUGCCCUAUGGGUUGUAAACCUCUUUUGUCAGGGAGCAACGCCGGCUACGUGUAGCCGGACUGAGAGUACCUGAAGAAAAAGCAUCGGCUAACUCCGUGCCAGCAGCCGCGGUAAUACGGAGGAUGCGAGCGUUAUCCGGAUUUAUUGGGUUUAAAGGGUGCGUAGGCGGAAUGCCAAGUCAGCGGUAAAAUCGCGGGGCUCAACCUCGCUCCGCCGUUGAAACUGGCGUUCUUGAGUGGGCGAGAAGUAUGCGGAAUGCGUGGUGUAGCGGUGAAAUGCAUAGAUAUCACGCAGAACUCCGAUUGCGAAGGCAGCAUACCGGCGCCCAACUGACGCUGAAGCACGAAAGCGUGGGUAUCGAACAGGAUUAGAUACCCUGGUAGUCCACGCAGUAAACGAUGAAUACUAGCUGUUCGGGGCAAAUGAGCCUUGAGUGGC
This 648-nucleotide ribosomal RNA is filed under the name uncultured bacterium. Its description in RNAcentral is "bacterial SSU rRNA". It matches the Rfam family "Bacterial small subunit ribosomal RNA", at positions 202 to 847 of the family's 1533-position model. The record is from RNAcentral.